This 569-nucleotide ribosomal RNA is filed under the name Curvularia sp. UOC/PTS/RDWW-18. RNAcentral describes it as "eukaryotic LSU rRNA". The stretch from base 201 to 354 matches the Rfam family "5.8S ribosomal RNA". The record is from RNAcentral. Lineage: Eukaryota; Fungi; Ascomycota; Dothideomycetes; Pleosporales; Pleosporaceae.
UACCUGCGGAGGGAUCAUUACACAAUAAACAUAUGAAGGCUGCACCGCCAACAGGCGGCAAGGGCUGGAGUAUUUUAUUACCCUUGUCUUUUUGCGCACUUGUUGUUUCCUGGGCGGGUUCGCCCGCCUCCAGGACCACAUGAUAAACCUUUUUUAUGCAGUUGCAAUCAGCGUCAGUACAACAAAUGUAAAUCAUUUACAACUUUCAACAACGGAUCUCUUGGUUCUGGCAUCGAUGAAGAACGCAGCGAAAUGCGAUACGUAGUGUGAAUUGCAGAAUUCAGUGAAUCAUCGAAUCUUUGAACGCACAUUGCGCCCUUUGGUAUUCCAAAGGGCAUGCCUGUUCGAGCGUCAUUUGUACCCUCAAGCUUUGCUUGGUGUUGGGCGUUUUUUGUCUUUGGUUUUGUCCAAAGACUCGCCUUAAAACGAUUGGCAGCCGGCCUACUGGUUUCGCAGCGCAGCACAUUUUUGCGCUUGCAAUCAGCAAAAGAGGACGGCACUCCAUCAAGACUCUAUAUCACUUUUGACCUCGGAUCAGGUAGGGAUACCCGCUGAACUUAAGCAUAUCA